CAGGCCUAACACAUGCAAGUCGAACGGCAGCACAGUGUGUAGCAAUACACAUGGGUGGCGAGUGGCGGACGGGUGAGUAAUACGUAGGAAUCUGCCUUGAAGCGGGGGACAACUCGAGGAAACUCGAGCUAAUACCGCAUAAUCUCUGAGGAGGAAAGUUGGGGCAACCUGACACUUUAAGAGGAGCCUACGUCCGAUUAGCUAGUUGGUAGGGUAAAAGCCUACCAAGGCGACGAUCGGUAACUGGUCUGAGAGGAUGACCAGUCACACUGGGACUGAGACACGGCCCAGACUCCUACGGGAGGCAGCAGUGGGGAAUAUUGGACAAUGGGGGCAACCCUGAUCCAGCGAUGCCGCGUGUGUGAAGAAGGCCUUCGGGUUGUAAAGCACUUUAGGUGGGGAAGAAGGUGUGGAGUUUAAGAGAUACUACAUUUGACGGUACCCGCAGAAUAAGCACCGGCUAACUCUGUGCCAGCAGCCGCGGUAAUACAGAGGGUGCGAGCGUUAAUCGGAAUUACUGGGCGUAAAGGGCGCGUAGGCGGUUAGAUAAGUGGGUUGUGAAAUCCCCGGGCUUAACCUGGGAAUGGCAAUCCAAACUGUAAGACUAGAGUACUGUAGAGGGUAGUGGAAUUUCCGGUGUAGCGGUGAAAUGCGUAGAGAUCGGAAGGAACACCCGUGGCGAAGG
RNAcentral lists this ribosomal RNA (685 nucleotides) under uncultured bacterium. Its description in RNAcentral is "bacterial SSU rRNA". It matches the Rfam family "Bacterial small subunit ribosomal RNA", at positions 43 to 721 of the family's 1533-position model. The record is from RNAcentral.